Molecule: unclassified non-coding RNA, 1055 nt
Filed under: Longidorus sp. 1 FDL-2019
Lineage: Eukaryota; Metazoa; Nematoda; Enoplea; Dorylaimida; Longidoridae
Description: sequence contains 18S rRNA gene, ITS1, 5.8S rRNA gene, ITS2, 28S rRNA gene
Rfam family: Eukaryotic small subunit ribosomal RNA (bases 1-192)
Source: RNAcentral
UGAUUACGUCCCUGCCCUUUGUACACACCGCCCGUCGCUACUACCGAUUGGAUGACUUAGUGAGGUCUUAGGACCGAAGUGAUGGAGCUUUCAUUAGUUCUUUCGCUUUGGAAAUUUGAUCGAACUACGUUAUCUAGAGGAAGUAAAAGUCGUAACAAGGUUUCCGUAGGUGAACCUGCGGAAGGAUCAUUAACGAGCGAUAUAAAAAAUUAUAUUCAUUACCAGCAGCAUGACGGAGAGAGGAAAAUGCGCUCUCCAGCUGCUGGUCAUUGAUGCUGCCAGACCUGAUGGGAAACGCGGUAGGCGCUUUAUAUAAUGCGCAAAGUCCGUCCAUCAGGCUGCUGGAAUUAGCAGCGAGUGGCGGCUGACUGACCGCUGAUAGAAGCUACACAAGCUUAGUCUCAGCUUUCUGGUCACAAGACUGCGUGGGUGUGUUGGUUGUAGUCAGGCUACCCAAUCUCCCGGGAUUGCAGUGUGACCGGAGGGUGUGCGUGAGUUUUCGCGCCGAGCGAGUCUAAGGGAAAAUAUUAGCUAAUAUCAGUACGGGGCACACACUCCAGGCUAAUACGUGUACAGACGUUCGGGAUUAAGUGAUUGAGCGAGUAACGGGGAAAAUCCUUACCGUGAAUAGCUCAUUGCUUGAUUCUUCUUCGGGUAUCUAUCAGCACUAACGCUACAGUUCCGUCUGGCUGUAAAGAAACGCGUCAGUGCUGGAAUCCAUCAAUCACCCUACAGUGGACUGGUAAAAAAGGACCAGUCUGCUGAUGGGUAGGUGGUGAGGUUUAAAGAGUCGUUGGCUCCAAUCUAUCGAUACUCAAAUCAGCUGGUGAAAGUUCAGCUCGAUGCGAGGGUAAAUUGGAGCGACUGUGUUCGGACACUGAGGGAAAAUUCAUGUCACUCAGUUCGGAUCAGUUCUGGGCGUUCUGUGUCGUUGCUUGAUUGCGCGCGCGGGACGUCCGGCCGACCGCCCGGAAUAAAAACCAAUACUAUAAAAAGCUAAUAUUCUUACUCUGAGUGAAAGUCAGAGAAAGUAUAUCUAUAAAGAUCAUUUCCCC